UCAAUUUUACAGAGUGCCACUUGCCCUG
This 28-nucleotide non-coding RNA is filed under the name Mus musculus (house mouse). The record is from RNAcentral. Lineage: Eukaryota; Metazoa; Chordata; Mammalia; Rodentia; Muridae.